CCUACGGGGGGCAGCAGGAGGCAGCAGUGAGGAAUAUUGGUCAAUGGGCGGGAGCCUGAACCCGCCAAGCCGCGUGAGGGAAGAAGGUACAGCGUAUCGUAAACCUCUUUUGUCAGGGAACAAAGGCGGGGACUAGUCCCCGGAUGAGGGUACCUGAAGAAAAAGCAUCGGCUAACUCCGUGCCAGCAGCCGCGGUAAUACGGAGGAUGCGAGCGUUAUCCGGAUUUAUUGGGUUUAAAGGGUGCGCAGGCGGCCUGUUAAGUCAGCGGUAAAAGCCCGGGGCUCAACCCCGGCGAGC
This 298-nucleotide ribosomal RNA is filed under the name uncultured bacterium. RNAcentral describes it as "partial 16S ribosomal RNA". It matches the Rfam family "Bacterial small subunit ribosomal RNA", at positions 338 to 624 of the family's 1533-position model. The record is from RNAcentral.